This 530-nucleotide ribosomal RNA is filed under the name Peribacillus frigoritolerans. Its description in RNAcentral is "bacterial SSU rRNA". It matches the Rfam family "Bacterial small subunit ribosomal RNA", at positions 48 to 542 of the family's 1533-position model. Lineage: Bacteria; Bacillati; Bacillota; Bacilli; Caryophanales; Bacillaceae. The record is from RNAcentral.
CUUAUAAGAGCCAAGUUGGGGGCAGUUCGGAGCGAUCGACGGGCAACUUGCUCCCUGCAGAUUAGCGGCGGACGGGUGAGUAACACGUGGGCAACCUGCCUAUAAGACUGGGAUAACUUCGGGAAACCGGAGCUAAUACCGGAUACGUUCUUUUCUCGCAUGAGAGAAGAUGGAAAGACGGUUUACGCUGUCACUUAUAGAUGGGCCCGCGGCGCAUUAGCUAGUUGGUGAGGUAAUGGCUCACCAAGGCGACGAUGCGUAGCCGACCUGAGAGGGUGAUCGGCCACACUGGGACUGAGACACGGCCCAGACUCCUACGGGAGGGCAGCAGUAGGGAAUCUUCCGCAAUGGACGAAAGUCUGACGGAGCAACGCCGCGUGAACGAAGAAGGCCUUCGGGUCGUAAAGUUCUGUUGUUAGGGAAGAACAAGUACCAAAGUAACUGCUGGUACCUUGACGGUACCUAACCAGAAAGGCCACGGGCUAACUACGUGCCGGCAGCCGCGGUAAUAGCGUAGGUGGGGAGGCGUU